This 253-nucleotide ribosomal RNA is filed under the name uncultured bacterium. Its description in RNAcentral is "partial 16S ribosomal RNA". It matches the Rfam family "Bacterial small subunit ribosomal RNA", at positions 524 to 776 of the family's 1533-position model. The record is from RNAcentral.
UACGUAGGGUCCGAGCGUUGUCCGGAGUUACUGGGCGUAAAGCGCGCGCAGGCGGCGGUGCUGGCCCGGCGUGAAAGCCCCCGGCUCAACCGGGGAGAGUCGUCGGGGACCGCACCGCUUGAGGGCGGUAGGGGCUGGUGGAAUGCCUGGUGUAGUGGUGAAAUGCGUAGAGAUCAGGCAGAACACCUGGGGCGAAGGCGGCCAGCUGGGCCGGCCCUGACGCUGAGGCGCGAAGGCGUGGGGAGCGAACGGG